RNAcentral lists this ribosomal RNA (358 nucleotides) under Clostridioides difficile. RNAcentral describes it as "partial 23S ribosomal RNA". It matches the Rfam family "Bacterial large subunit ribosomal RNA", at positions 1294 to 1650 of the family's 2925-position model. Lineage: Bacteria; Bacillati; Bacillota; Clostridia; Peptostreptococcales; Peptostreptococcaceae. The record is from RNAcentral.
AUGUUGGCAUGAGUAGCGAGAUGUGGGUGAGAAUCCCACAGGCCGUAAACCCAAGGUUUCCAGGGGAAGGUUCGUCCGCCCUGGGUUAGUCGGGACCUAAGCUGAGGCCGAAAGGCGUAGGUGAUGGACAACAGGUUGAUAUUCCUGUACUACCGAUAACCGUUUGAGAGAAGGGAUGACACAGUAGGAUAAGCUAAGCACACUGUUGGUUAUGUGUGCCCAAGCAUUGAGGCAGUCAAAGUAGGCAAAUCCGCUUUGAUAAUGCUGGGAUGUGAUGGGGAGCGAAAUUUAGUAGCGAAGUAGCUGAUUUCACACUGUCAAGAAAAGUCUCUAUCGAGGUUAAAGGUACCCGUACCGC